GUACACUCCUGCGGGAGGCAGCAGUGGGGAAUUUUGGACAAUGGGCGAAAGCCUGAUCCAGCAAUGCCGCGUGAGUGAAGAAGGCCUUCGGGUUGUAAAGCUCUUUUGUCAGGGAAGAAACGGUGAAAGCUAAUAUCUUUUGCUAAUGACGGUACCUGAAGAAUAAGCACCGGCUAACUACGUGCCAGCAGCCGCGGUAAUACGUAGGGUGCAAGCGUUAAUCGGAAUUACUGGGCGUAAAGCGUGCGCAGGCGGUUUUGUAAGUCUGAUGUGAAAUCCCCGGGCUCAACCUGGGAAUUGCAUUGGAGACUGCAAGGCUAGAAUCUGGCAGAGGGGGGUAGAAUUCCACGUGUAGCAGUGAAAUGCGUAGAUAUGUGGAGGAACACCGAUGGCGAAGGCAGCCCCCUGGGUCAAGAUUGACGCUCAUGCACGAAAGCGUGGGGAGCAAACAGGAUUAGAUACCCGAGUAGUCCCAU
RNAcentral lists this ribosomal RNA (476 nucleotides) under uncultured organism. Its description in RNAcentral is "partial 16S ribosomal RNA". It matches the Rfam family "Bacterial small subunit ribosomal RNA", at positions 331 to 798 of the family's 1533-position model. The record is from RNAcentral.